RNAcentral lists this ribosomal RNA (320 nucleotides) under uncultured Bacteroidales bacterium. Its description in RNAcentral is "bacterial SSU rRNA". It matches the Rfam family "Bacterial small subunit ribosomal RNA", at positions 28 to 339 of the family's 1533-position model. Lineage: Bacteria; Pseudomonadati; Bacteroidota; Bacteroidia; Bacteroidales. The record is from RNAcentral.
GAUGAACGCUAGCUACAGGCUUAACACAUGCAAGUCGAGGGGCAGCAUGCUGAUAGCUUGCUAUCGGUGAUGGCGACCGGCGCACGGGUGCGUAACACGUAUCCAAUCUACCCAUAGCUCUGGGAUAGCCUUUCGAAAGAAAGAUUAAUACCGGAUGGUCUGUCACGGAGACAUCUCUGUGUCAGUAAAGAUUAAUCGGCGAUGGAUGAGGAUGCGUCCGAUUAGCUGGUUGGCGGGGCAACGGCCCACCAAGGCGACGAUCGGUAGGGGUUCUGAGAGGAAGGUCCCCCACAUUGGAACUGAGACACGGUCCAAACUCC